AUCCAGCUGACGAGUCUCAAAUAGGACGAAAUGUGCAUCCUCUAU
Molecule: non-coding RNA, 45 nt
Filed under: Schistosoma mattheei
Lineage: Eukaryota; Metazoa; Platyhelminthes; Trematoda; Strigeidida; Schistosomatidae
Source: RNAcentral